UACGUAGGUGGCGAGCGUUGUCCGGAUUUACUGGGCGUAAAGAGCGCGCAGGCGGUCGUAUAAGUCGAAUGUGAAAGCCCCCGGCUCAACUGGGGAGGGUCACGCGAUACUGAUCGACUCGAAGGCAGGAGAGGGUAGUGGAAUUCCCGGUGUAGUGGUGAAAUGCGUAGAUAUCGGGAGGAACACCAGUGGCGAAGGCGACUACCUGGCCUGUUUCUUGACGCUGAGGCGCGAAAGCUAGGGGAGCAAACGGG
This 254-nucleotide ribosomal RNA is filed under the name uncultured bacterium. RNAcentral describes it as "partial 16S ribosomal RNA". It matches the Rfam family "Bacterial small subunit ribosomal RNA", at positions 524 to 776 of the family's 1533-position model. The record is from RNAcentral.